CACACUUUCUAACUAAUCUAGGACUUCAAAACAAAUGGGGAUUUGAUUUGGACGAAAAUAACUAAAUGGGCAGAUUGUGAAACAAAAACAGAUUGUAAGAUAAAAUUGUAAUGAAUCAACGGAUGAUGGAAUAGCUAAGGUGUUCUUCUCCACACAUGAAAUAUAUGCAACCUAAAUCGAUUUCCAGUUAUCAAAUUAAUAAGUUAUGAAUCUCGACACUCCAAGUUAAUUAGGUCCGCUUAAAUUAACCUUCAGAUUUCCCUAGAAUCAUUGAAUUGGAUGAAUAUGCAUCGCAAACAAAUUAUUCCUAACAAGUUCUCUAUAUGAACAGCAUGAUAAAGAUACAAGUUAGAAUCAUUACGUUCUUUGGAAAUCAUAAGCAUCGACAAGGCAUUCGUAACUAUGAAAAGCAUGAUACUCUUGCCAGGAAUCUACUUAACACGAUCGUGACUAGCGACCUUCACUACUUGCGAAUAUAAAUUCAUAAUGAUUAGGUGAAACAAACUUAUAUCCUAGCACCAAAUUCAAGCAUGCAAAUUAAGCGUGCACUCUCAAUCAACAUACAAGAAUAAGUUCUAAAUCAAACGGUUAAGCAAAUUGUAUUCACGAUUUAUGCAACGAUAACUGGAAGUAAUCAACUUAUUUCACAUAUAUAAUCAUGGUUUUGAAUCCACCCUUAGCCAAAACGAAUUUAGCCAAUCAUACUUAAAGCAAAACAAAGAUUACAUGAAUUAGACAGUGAAAUAUAAGAUAGAAAACACCUAAAAUCGUUCAACAACUCAGAUUGAAAAGCCAAACAAUUGUAGAGAAUCUGUCCCCUUUGUUGCUUGCGGCAGAUUGUUUGGUGAUGCUUCUUGGAUUGUUUUGAUGACGUAGAAUGGAAUUUGGGGGGUGUAGAGGCACGGCAAGGGUUGUAGGAUGAGUGGUGGAUGGAUGGAAGAUGGUGGAAAGCUCGGCAAGAAUGGUGGAAAGGUGCGGCAGAUUAUAGAACUAGGGUUUCUAGAAUUUUGAAUGAAUGUAGCAGGUUGUUUGGGAUGGUUUUGGAUGAGGUUGAAUGGUGGAAAAGUGUCUAGGAUGGGUGUAUGGCACGGCUAGGGGGGUUUGGGGUCAGAAACUAUGGAGUUUUGUGAAGGAUAGGUGCGGUUAGGGAUGGUGGAUGAAUUCUGGCGUGAAUGGAGUUGUAUGGAUGUGUGUGGAAUGUUUUGUGGCUGCAACAAGGAGGUUUAUUUAAAGGAAAACAGAAAUUAAAACCCUAGGUUGAUUAGGAAAUCAGAAAUUAAGUCUAAGGAUUCUAGAAUUAGGAAAUAAAUCAGAAAAUUAAAGGAAAGAGCAAGGGAAAUUCGGCUAGGGUUUAAAACACAAAAGGAAGGUGUUUUAAAGCAUAAAAACAGGAAAUAAGGAAGAGGAAAUGCAAAGGGGGGGUGCGGCAAGGGUUCAAAAGGGUUCCAGGCUUUUGUUUUGUGUCCUAGAAUGCUUAGAAAGUCUUCAUAAUUGCUGGAACUUUUAGGGACAUUUAGGAAAAAUCAAACCAAAGUAGGAAACUUUGGCUUAACUUUCCUAUUUCAAGUAGGAAUCCUUGUUGGAGUAGGAAUCCUUGUUCUUCUAGGAAUCCUCAUGUGAUUAGGAAUCCAUCUUCCAUUAGGAAUCCUUCUUGGAGUAGGAAUCCUUCGUCGAUUAGGAAUCCUUCUUCAAUUAGGAAUCCUUCUUCAUGUAAGCACUUUCCUACUUCAACUAGGAAACCUUGUUCAAGUAGGAAUCAUCAUCUUCAAAUCUUCAAAUUCGUCCAAACCUUGGCUCCAAUUAUGUGAUAAUCAUUCCAAGCCCAAUUUUUCUCCAAAAAACUCCAAAAUGCAUCUUCUUGCAUCCUUUGGCCUUAAAACCUGAAAACACAUAAAACUAGCUUAAAAGACUACUUUAACUAAGAAAACACCAUGGAAAUGCAUAAGAACUAGCUAACUAAGGCGCAUAAAUAUGCUCCUAUCAACAACCCAAACAUUCCCCACAAGUCCCCUACAUGAUUGCAUAAUAGAGAUACAAGCAAGAAUCAUUAAGUUCUAUGAAAACCAUAAGCACUGACGAAGCACUUGUUACUAUGAUUGCAUGAAACUUAUGCCAAGAAUUUACUUAACACGAUUGAGAUCAUCAACCUUUACUACUUGCGAAUAUAAGUCCAUAACGAUUAGGUGAAAUUUCCUUAUAUCCUAGCAUUCAAUUUAUGCAUGAUAAUUAAGCGUGCACUCUCAACCAACACACACAAAUCAAUGUAAUUCACAUAGAUAAGUAAAUUGAAUUCACAACUUAUGAAACGCAAUUAGAAGUAAUCAAAUCAUAUCGCAAGCAUAAACAUGUAUUUCAAGUGCUAUUUGGGAUCCUCCAUGGACAACCCAUGGUACUUCAGAAUAUGGUACAGCAAGCUUGACUUCAACUCGAAUUCCUCGGUCUUGCCUUGAGCAGCCGCGGGAUAUUGGAUGCAUAGGGGUAUGGCAUUGUCCAAUCCCAAAGCGGAAAUCUCCUUGAUCGUUCGGUUGUCCGCUGCCAUGUUUUGCACUACUUCACCCACCCUUGCCGUGGGUUCUUCUUCCUUAAACUCAGAUUCGGCCUCUGAAUGUGAACUUGAUUCACUAGGUUCUGGAUUUUUCCUCUUUCGUCUCAACUCUCCCUCGAAAUCGUUGUCAAAGUCCAAGAUAUGUUCACGAACCAGAUGAGAACUCCGAGUCAUAAACUAGUACCUAAGAACAAGGAAAAAAACUAGGUCAGAAUCUGGAAUUAAUUAAAACAAAACAAAAUAAAAGAUCCACGGGAUUAGCAACUUUGCUAAUCCCCGGCGACGGCGCCAAAAAUUUGAUGCGAAAUAUAUAAGCACACAAAUUAAACCCUUUUUUAUCAAUUGUAGCAAAGUAUGUAAGUAGGGAUCGUUCUAGGCCGGGGAUUAGGAGGGAUUGCUAAAACACUUAAAACUGAGUCAAAAACGUAAAACAAAGUUUGAAACACUAAAUUAGACUGAAAGAAUGCAAAACUAAACUAGAAAACACUAAAGCUACUCAACAGACUCAAAUCUGCCUAAAAACACAAAUUGGGCAGAUUUGAAUUCUAACACUCUUUUGGACGAAUUUUGGGUUUUCCUAGACUCAAAACACUUAAAAACACAAUCUAAAACAUAUUCUAACUAGUUAAACACUCUAAAGUAAGGGGGAUUUGGUUUUGGACGAAAAUCAAAUAAAAUAAAACAAGAAUGACUUAAACAGAUUUUGGACGAAAUUGGGUGAAUUACAUGGAUGAAUGGCUAGCUAGGAGGGUCUUCUCCACACAUGUCACACUUGCAUACAAAACGAUUUCCAAUUGCUUUUCAAUAAACCAUGAAUUCUCAACGCCCUAGAUGAACCGUGAAUUGCACUAAUUAACCCUCAGAUUUUCCUAAUUUCAUUGAAUUGGAUGAUUGCAUACAAAAACCCAAAGCAUUCCCCACAAGUUCCCUACAUGAAUUGCACAAUAGAGAUACAAGCAAAGAUCAUUAUGUUCUAUGAAAAUCAUAAGCAUUGACGAGGCACUUGUUACUAUGAAUUGCAUGAAACUUAUGCCAAGAAUUUACUUAACGCGAUUGUGAUUAGCAACCUUUACUACUCAUGAAUAUAAGUUCAUAACAAUUAGGUGAAACUCCCUUAUAUCCUAACAUCAGAUUUAUGCAUGAAAAUUAAGCGUGCACUCUCAACCAACACACACAAAUAAGUUUUAAUUUAUAUAGAUAAGCAAAUUGAAUUCACAACUUAUGAAACGCAACUGAAAGUAAUCAAAUCAUAUAGCAAGCAUAAACAUGGUUUAGAAUUCCCCCUAGCUAAGAGGGGUUUAGUUCCUCAUACUCACAAAUAAACAAAGAUAACUUAAAUUAAACAUUGAAAUCAAAGAUAGAAAACACCUAGAAACGCUCCAACAAUCCAACGUCUUGAAUGGCAAGCACGGCUCUAGGGACUCCUCUCCUUUCUCUUUUCAAAUCUGCAGCACUAGAGGGAUGUAUGGCGUGAAAUUGUGAUGGAAGAUGGUCUGAAUUGUGGUGAAUGGUUGUUUACGAAUUUGUGAUGAAAGGUGGAUGGUGUAGUGAUCUGAUGGUAGAGGGUGGUAGAUUAAUUGCUACACAAAAGUUUGUAUUUAUAGGGUUAGGGAAACCCACGAAUUUUUGAAGGAAAGGAAUGUGUAUUUGGCACAAUUCAUGAAGGAAAAGGACUAGGGUUCACCCAAAUCUGAAGGGAAAAGGAUUGCACAAUUGAUGUGAAAAUUAUGUUGACACACAAAUUAAACCCUAUUUGUGACAAUUGUAGUAAUGAUGUAAGUAGGGAUUGUUCUAACCGGGGAUUAACUAUGGGUGCUAAUCUAAUAUAAAUUGAUUUAAAAACACAAAAACUAAACUUAAAGACUCUAACAAGACUACUAUGACUCAAAACAGAUUUGAAACACUCAAAACUGCCUAAAACAAUCAAAUUGACUCAAAAAGAAACUAGAACUUGAUUUGGACGAAUUUGAAAGUGUUUAUGACUCCAAAUGCUUAAAAACACAAAAUAAAACAGAUUUGAAUGACUAAGACUCAACAAAAUAUGGGAGGAUUGUGUUUGGAUGAAAUUAAAUUAAAUGGGCAGAUUGUAAAGAAAACAGAUUGUAAGACAAAAUUGUGAUGAAUCAAUGGAUGAUGGAAUAGCUAAGGGGUUCUUCUCCACACAUGAAAUAUAUGCAACGUAAAUCAAUUUCCAGUUAUCAAUUUAAUAAGUUAUGAACCUCGACACUCCAAGUUAAUUAGGUCCGCUUAAAUUAACCUUCAGAUUUCCCUAGAAUCAUUGAAUUGGAUGAAUAUGCAUCACAAACAAAUUAUUCCUAACAAGUUCUCUAUAUGAACAGCAUGAUAAAGACACAAGUUAGAAUCAUUACAUUCUUUGGAAAUCAUAAGCAUCGACAAGGCAUUUGUAACUAUGAAAAGCAUGAUACUCUUGCCAGGAAUCUA
RNAcentral lists this long non-coding RNA (4987 nucleotides) under Malus domestica (apple). Its description in RNAcentral is "long non-coding RNA (MDOM_LNC020196)". The record is from RNAcentral. Lineage: Eukaryota; Viridiplantae; Streptophyta; Magnoliopsida; Rosales; Rosaceae.